UUUCAGCCUAAGAGUAGCAAUCAAUAACACACUGAAAUCUCAGCAGUGUACAAAAUAAAACCAUGAGAUCACUACAUCAUAUUAUUACUUAAAAAAACCUAACGUAUUUCCCUUCUAUUUGUUGCUAUCCGCCGUCGCACAAAUCAAAACUCAUCCAGUUGUCGCCCAGCCAUAAAAACUCAUUUAUGGGGCUAUCGUUACCUGCUUCAAAAGAAAACAUGUAAUGGAGGUGACUCUGCAGAAGAUAGAGCCUUUCUUAUGCUUUCCUCUCUCUCUCUCUCUCUCUCUCUCUCUCUCUCUCUGUGGCUGUGGCUCAUGGUGACUAGAAGGUAUUGGGGAAGAAUAUUACAACUCCAUCAUUUCCUUGUUGAUGAUGACGAUGAUGGUAGUGAAGAAGCAUAUGACUAUUUGGACCACAGAGAGAGAGAGAAAGGGUACAUGUCCCCUUUGACGGGCAUUGUUGCGCAUGCUUGCCGAUUGCUGAUGAGAGAGAUAGCGAAAGAGAGAGAAAGAGAACACUCACCCCCUUUAUCUUUCACACACGCUUCUUGUCCUCUAGCUGUGAUGGUUCUCUUGAAAUUUUAAGGGUCUCUCUGUGAGAAAGAGACUAGGGUGGGAAAGAGAUCCGGCUUCAAUUCAAUGCGGUGAGGACCCAUUGUGAGUCUAAUGAGUGGACUACGCAGCAGAAGCACAUUGAUGGCUGAUUUCAACCUGUUAAUGGAUGUACUGGUUAGAAGUUAUUGUCGUGUACAUUACUUGUGAGAAAAUUUUAUAAUUUUUCAAUAAAUUUUACUUUGGUCAAA
Long non-coding RNA from Carya illinoinensis, 803 nucleotides. RefSeq lists it as uncharacterized. The transcript is spliced from 2 exons. NCBI's taxonomy places the organism in Eukaryota, Viridiplantae, Streptophyta, Magnoliopsida, Fagales, Juglandaceae. The record is from RefSeq and is a predicted model, not a curated record.